Molecule: ribosomal RNA, 616 nt
Filed under: uncultured bacterium
Lineage: Bacteria
Description: bacterial SSU rRNA
Rfam family: Bacterial small subunit ribosomal RNA
Source: RNAcentral
GAGANCUGGCGGCGGCCUCAUACAUGCAAGUCGAGCGGACGGACCCCUUCGGGGGCGAGUUAGCGGCGAACGAGUGAGUAACAGGUGGAUAAUCUGCCUCCCGGUGGGGGAUAACGGCUGGAAACGGCCGCUAAUACCGCAUUCGGUUGAUACGUUACGAUGUAUCAAAGAAAGGCGCUUCACGGCGUCGCCGGGAGAUGAGUCCGCCUCCCAUUAGCUAGUUGGUGAGAUAAUAGCUCACCAAGGCAACGAUGGGUAGCCGAACUGAGAGGUUGAUCGGCCACACUGGAACUGAGACACGGUCCAGACACCUACGGGUGGCAGCAGUAGGGAAUAUUGGGCAAUGGGCGAAAGCCUGACCCAGCCAUGCCGCGUGAGCGAUGACGGUCCUCGAGAUUGUAAAGCUCUUUUCUGAGGGAAGAAUAUCCAGGGUAGGAAAUGCCCCUGGCUUGACGGUACCUCAGGAAUAAGGAACGGCUAACUCCGUGCCAGCAGCCGCGGUAAUACGGAGGUUCCAAGCGUUGUUCGGAAUUACUGGGCGUAAAGGGAGCGCAGGCGGACAAGUCAGUCUGAAGUGAAAUCCCGGGGCUCAACCUCGGACUUGCUUCGGAUACUG